Epinephelus lanceolatus (giant grouper) is the source of this 232-nucleotide long non-coding RNA. RefSeq lists it as uncharacterized. NCBI's taxonomy places the organism in Eukaryota, Metazoa, Chordata, Actinopteri, Perciformes, Serranidae. The record is from RefSeq and is a predicted model, not a curated record.
CCCACAACUGCGGUUCCAACAACUGGGCCUCCUACAACUCCAAGCUUGACAUCAUUGGCACAUCUACAGAUGAGUUUACAGUCCUUUGGAGAGGUCAGCAAUGACACUAUCAUUGAGCUCAUAAAACAGUUCUUUAAUAAACAGCUGAAUGGAACAGCCCACACAGUCACUGUGACACUCAUUCAAAGGGUUGGAGUUGGCCCAUAGAAGAGUCAUGUGGACAGAAAUAGUC